Long non-coding RNA from Mustela lutreola (European mink), 4190 nucleotides. RefSeq lists it as uncharacterized. NCBI's taxonomy places the organism in Eukaryota, Metazoa, Chordata, Mammalia, Carnivora, Mustelidae. The record is from RefSeq and is a predicted model, not a curated record. The transcript has 2 exons.
CAAACUAGAACUAAAGCUGCUGGGGGACUGGCCCCUGGUUUGCUUGCUCUGUCAACUUCAAACCUACGGGAACCCAUUUCCUUAAUCGCAGCAGUGUCUCCGCACCCAGCCCAGGAUUUUUGCUAAUCUCGGAGCCUCGCGUCGCUGUCUCUGCCUGAGGGGCGAGGUCGGCCUGGCUAACAGAGCAAGACGCACUCGCCCAGGGCAGAAGGCGGUGAGCCGGUGAUACCCUCAACCACCCCAAACGGCCCUCUGGCUCCUUCCAGAGCCCCGGGCACACGCCCUCUGCUGGUCCCACAGAGCACUCCUGGCCCUAACCGCGAGCACCCGCUGCGGAGAGGAUAUUCGGGGAAAGCCAAGAAAGCACCAAGAGCCGUGGUCAACUGGAAUCCGAAACCGCGGGCCCCUUCACUGCCAGAUAAAUAAGAAAAAGACGAUAAUUUAAUGGAAAAAUUGGCAAGAGCACGGUAGGAAUUUCGCAGAAGAACCCUACUGGAAACUCGAACCAGAUUGUCUGACCGGUGCACCUGUCGGCGUGCGGGAGCUGGCAGUUUGUAGGAAGGACUUCUGGAAGCUGACUUGAUAACCAUAUCCAACACAAUGAAAACAAAAAUCACACCAGCCAAACCUUUUCCAACACCGGGACUGUUUUGAUUGUGUAGAUCAGUUUGGGAAAGCAGACAUCUCGACAGUAUGGAGUGUCUCUCUCAUCUCCAGGCUCUACAUGUUGGAUUCCUUCUGCUGCAGCUGGUUUGGCCCAUGCUCAGAUGAACAGGGGCAACAGGCCACGUGCAACCCUGUUCCCACCCCUGUCCUUCCUCUUCUCUCCCUGGAGGUCUCCUGUCCCAGAUGGUGGGCACAGGGCUGGGGGAGGAAGGUGCCUCAGGCAGGUCUCUUCCCUGUCCAACAGCAGCCUGCCCUCCUGGCACACAAGGUGGCCUGGCCGUCAGCUCCUUUCUCCUUUUUCUUUUCCUGUGCCCGUUUCUCUGGCCAGUGGGGAAGGAGGCGCUGCCAGGGGCUAUAGAAGGGAUCAGAGCCUUGUUCCCCACCUGUGGGUUCCUGCCUCUCCUCAGGGGGCAGCCAUUUCUCUCCUGAAACCAUUUUCUUCCCUCUUAAUAUCCUCUGUCUCUGGUCAGGGCACCUGGGUCCCUUCCUGGGGGCAGAGGCAAAUUCUAACGACCCAUCACAUUUACACAUUUAUAUUUACAAACGCUUGGCAGCUUGCAAAACUGAGGAGCAUGAGGCUUUCUGCAGGCCCAGGGAGGUUCUGUGAGGGGGAAGGAGCCCGUGCCACUGAGUGGAGGCCUGGGCCCCAUGAGCAAAGCCACAGCACUGCUGGGCGGGGUGCUGUCUCUGCCCACCACUCCCUGGACCAUUAGGUUGCCAUCUGGCCCACUGAGAAGUAGAAACCUGAGCCCUCUACUCCCACUAAGCCUGCCUUGGGGUUCCCAGAUGUCUAAGUCCCCAGCCUCAGGGCGUCUCCCCAUGCUGAGACCGCCCCUCAAAGAGGCUACACCAAUGGCCCUUGCCUGGGCCCUCACGGCCGCCCUAAGGGCUGCAGUCCUCCCGCCUAUGGUAUGGAUUAGUUUUGCCCAGAUAUGUGAGUUUGCAUUUUUCCAAGAUGAAUCCUGUUUCCUGUUUCCAUUUCUAGCUCAGAGAGGUCCCUGCGGGUGACCUUCACAAAACCUCCCUGUGGGCCAGCUUCUCAAAAAUUCACUUUGGUGCACUUUGCACCUGCCCUUGGCCGGUGGGGCCAGGCCUCUGCCCUGCCUGCUCUGGGGCCCACCCCGGCUUUGGGUUCCCGUCUUUCCAGGCUGCUUGCCGGCAGCAUUCCGGAGGGCACGUGGUCAGACUGCUGAUGCUGCUGGCCCUGCGCCUUCCUGAGCUUCCCUCCACACCCUGUGGGUAUGGGGUACCUGCUGCCUCAGUCAGCUCAGGCCAUCACAAAACACCGCAGUGAAAGCUUGAAUGACAGACGUUUCUCUCGGCCUGGAGGCCAGGAGGCUGGGAGGCCAGCAUCAAGGUGCAGGCAGGGAGACUUCGUUCCUAGGCUUCCUCUCUGGGCUCACAGGGCCUGAUGGUGAUCUGUAGAGAGCUCGAAGAGAUCUCUGCCUUGCCACCUGCUGCUAAUCCCAUUGAAUCGAGACCCUACCCUUAUGACCCCAUUUAACCAUAUAAUUUCCCAAAAGCCCUGUCUCCAAAUACAGUCCCACUGGGGGUUAGGGCUGCAGUGUAGGAAUUUGAGGGGUGUGGGGGAGACAGUUUACCCGUAGCACCUGGCAUUUUCAGUUCUCAACAAAUCGAGUCGCUUCACAUGACAGGAAUUUAUUCUCUCCCAAUUCUGGAGGCCAGAGUUCUAAGAUCUAGGGGUGAGCAGGGCCAGGCUUCCUCUGGAGGCUCCAGGGAGGACCCUUCCUGCCUCUUCCAGCUUCCAGGGGCUCCUGGUGGGCCUAGGCUGGUGGCUGCCUCACCCCCUCCCUUCCUUUUUUCUUAUGAAGGUCCCAGUCAUUGGGUUUAAGGAUCACCCUAACCCAGGAUGACUUCAUCUUGAAAUUUCUUAUCUUUCUUUUAUUUUUUAUUUUUUAAGAUUUUUCUUACUUGAGAGAGAGAAGGAGAAAAGGAAUGAGAGAGCACAAGCAGGGAAGCAGCAGGGGCAGAGGGAGAAGCAGACUCCCCACUAAUCAGGGAGCUGGAGGCAGGGCUGGAACCCAGGACCCUGAGAUCAGGACUUGAGCAAAAGGCAGACGCUUCACCGACUGAGCCACCCAGGCGCUUCUUGAAAUUUCCUAUCUUAAUGACAUCUGCAAAGACCCUUAUUCCAAAUAAGGUUCCAGGUGGACAUGAAUGGGAGGGGGACACCAUUCACCCUUCCCCCCUGAGGGUGCUCUGACCUAGGGUCAGCUCUGGACUCCGCUGGUGGGCCCCACGGCCAACCGUCCCUGAUCUGCAAAGAGGUAUCAGGGCCCCAGGAUUUCAUUUCUGACAGGAAUAGAUGUACUAGUCUUAGGGGCUACGGCUCGCCAAGGGCGUGGAGGUUGUAUAAUACAGACACGCUUUACUGCCUUUGGAGGAGAAGGUUGGCUGCUGAUUGGAUGGUGUCUUGGCCCGUUUGGGUGGCUAUAAUGAACACCAGUACUGGUGGCUUCUAAACCACAGAGAUUUACUUCUUACCGUUCAGAAGGCCGGGAUUGUAGGUUCCGUGCUGGGGAGAGCUGCACACGUCCCGCUGUGUCCCCAACAGGGUAGAAGGGGUGAGAAACGGCAACUCUUUCACAAGGGCCCUGAUCCCAUCUGGGAGGCCUCCACUCUCGUGACCUUACUGGGUCUCAAGGCCCACUUCCUAAACCCAGCGCCCUGGGUGUUCAUACAAACACAUACAAAUCUGGAUCAGCAAGAGGCUGGGGGUCAGGAUCCAGGGGGGUGUGUCAGGGCCAGAGGGUGGAGGACAGCCCCCGACUCCCCUCGGCAUGGGAAUCUGGCCUGAGAACAAUGGAGUAGAGGCAUGUCAUUCACCGAAAUUCUCUGGGUUCAUUUGGCCAACCAGCCUGGCUCUGUGGUUGCCCGUAGUGGGGAGCCAAGGGGUCCCAGGGCCUCUGAGAAGAGAGACGUUUGUGACUUGAACUCUAUCCCAACUUGACAUAGUUGUCUACUCUUCCCACCACAGUUUAUUCUGCUUGUAGCACAGCAGCCUAUAACCUCACCACGUUCUGGAAUGAACGUGACUGCAGGUCUGUACGGGGUAAACCCCCCCAGAGAUGGAGGGGGGAGCUGCGGCAGGGGGUUCACGGGCUUCCCCUGGGUCCAUCGCUGACCCGACAGAAAGAGCCCGCAGGGCCCUCACCUGGACUGGACCAUGCCCAAGGCUGCGACACCUGCAGGAGUGAGAGACACAUCCCUCGUCCCAGGGCCACAACUUACUUCCCACUCCCAGCUUCCUUCGUCGCAAGCACUUUGGGCUCAUAACAGCCCCUCCCGAGUCACCCCAUUUCUCCUCAUUCCCAGACUUGCUUAGGGUUUUGCCCAGUGUGUUUGUACUGGGGUUGAAAUUCUCUUACUCCUGAAUAAGCCCAUCUGUUCCUGGUGAAAUAACUGGCAGUUUUCAUUGUGAAGGUUAACAAAACCAAUGUACUUUAUUUAGGUAUUUUCCCACUUACUACUGUUACCAUUGAAAUAAAACACAGCUACGAUGA